UACGUAGGGGGCAAGCGUUAUCCGGAUUUACUGGGUGUAAAGGGAGCGUAGACGGUAAUGUAAGUCUGAUGUGAAAGCCCGGGGCUCAACUCCGGGACUGCUUUUGAAACUGUGUGACUGGAGUGCAGGAGAGGUAAGCGGAAUUCCUGGUGUAGCGGUGAAAUGCGUAGAUAUCAGGAGGAACACCAGUGGCGAAGGCGGCUUACUGGACUGUAACUGACGUUGAGGCACGAAAGCGUGGGUAUCGAACAGG
This 253-nucleotide ribosomal RNA is filed under the name uncultured Lachnospiraceae bacterium. Its description in RNAcentral is "partial 16S ribosomal RNA". It matches the Rfam family "Bacterial small subunit ribosomal RNA", at positions 524 to 776 of the family's 1533-position model. The record is from RNAcentral. Lineage: Bacteria; Bacillati; Bacillota; Clostridia; Lachnospirales; Lachnospiraceae.